GCAACUCAAAAAAAAUACUUCUUUUCUUCCACAAGUCCGCCUCAUUAGGGUCAUCCUCCUCGUCAGAUUCAUCAUCAGAUUCAUCCCUCGAUCGUCUAUCUGUUUGCCUGUUAGAUGGUUGAUUUAGCUUCCCGUAACUGAAAUCCAUAUCUUUUAACAUGAAUAAGAUUUCAGAUCCAAUGGUCUGCUCAGGAGCUUUUUUCAACUCUUCAGUACCGUCAAAUAAAGCCUUCUGAAAUCUAUAUCUAUGAUUUUCAUCUAACCACCGACGAUGCCCCAUAUAGCAGAACUUCUUCCCA
Molecule: long non-coding RNA, 299 nt
Filed under: Gossypium barbadense (sea-island cotton)
Lineage: Eukaryota; Viridiplantae; Streptophyta; Magnoliopsida; Malvales; Malvaceae
Description: long non-coding RNA (GBAR_LNC012263)
Source: RNAcentral